Molecule: transfer RNA, 86 nt
Filed under: Candidatus Tayloriibacteriota bacterium
Lineage: Bacteria; Candidatus Tayloriibacteriota
Description: tRNA-Leu
Rfam family: tRNA
About the family: Transfer RNA (tRNA) molecules are approximately 80 nucleotides in length.
Source: RNAcentral
GGGCGAGUGGUGAAAUGGCAGACACGCCAGCCUUAGGAGCUGGUGCUCGCAAGAGCAUGGAGGUUCAAGUCCUCUCUCGCCCACAA